CGCGGCAGCUACACAUGCAGUCGACGGUAACAGGAAGCAGCUUGCUUCUUUGCUGACGAGUGGCGGACGGGUGAGUAAUGUCUGGGAAACUGCCUGAUGGAGGGGGAUAACUACUGGAAACGGUAGCUAAUACCGCAUAACGUCGCAAGACCAAAGAGGGGGACCUUCGGGCCUCUUGCCAUCGGAUGUGCCCAGAUGGGAUUAGCUAGUAGGUGGGGUAACGGCUCACCUAGGCGACGAUCCCUAGCUGGUCUGAGAGGAUGACCAGCCACACUGGAACUGAGACACGGUCCAGACUCCUACGGGAGGCAGCAGUGGGGAAUAUUGCACAAUGGGCGCAAGCCUGAUGCAGCCAUGCCGCGUGUAUGAAGAAGGCCUUCGGGUUGUAAAGUACUUUCAGCGGGGAGGAAGGGAGUAAAGUUAAUACCUUUGCUCAUUGACGUUACCCGCAGAAGAAGCACCGGCUAACUCCGUGCCAGCAGCCGCGGUAAUACGGAGGGUGCAAGCGUUAAUCGGAAUUACUGGGCGUAAAGCGCACGCAGGCGGUUUGUUAAGUCAGAUGUGAAAAUCCCCGGGCUCAACCUGGGAACUGCAUCUGAUACUGGCAAGCUUGAGUCUCGUAGAGGGGGGUAAAAUUCCAGGUGUAGCGGUGAAAUGCGUAGAAGAUCUGGAGGAAUACCCGGUGGCGAAGGCGGCCCCCUGGACAAAGACUGACGCUCAGUGCUAGAGCGUGGGCAGCAAACAGAAUAAAAUACCCUGGUAGUCACGCGUAAACGAUGUCAAUGUGAAGGUUGUGUCCUUUGAGCGGUGCUUCCGUACCCAACCAGUAUUCAACCCCCUGGGAGAGAGAGGCCCAAGUUAGACAC
This 866-nucleotide ribosomal RNA is filed under the name marine bacterium CS-61. Its description in RNAcentral is "bacterial SSU rRNA". It matches the Rfam family "Bacterial small subunit ribosomal RNA", at positions 38 to 900 of the family's 1533-position model. The record is from RNAcentral.